CUAAUCAAGCCUGGGCAAUGGCGGGCGCCCCUCCCCCAGCCUCGCUGCUGCCUUGCAGUUUGAUCUCAGACUGCUGUGCUAGCAAUCAGCGAGACUCCAUGGGCGUAGGAACCUCCAAGCCAGGUGUGGAAUAUAAUCUCGUGGUGCGCCGUUUUUUAAGCCCUUCGGAAAAGCGCAGUAUUCGGGUGGGAGUGACCCAAUUUUCCAGGUGCCGUCAGUCACCCCUUUCUUUGACUCGGAAAGGGAACUCCCUGACCCCUUGCGCUUCCCAAGUGAGGUAAUGCCUCGCCCUGCUUCGGCUCGCGCACGGUGCGCGCACCCACUGACCUGCACCCACUGUCUGGCACUCCCUAGUGAGAUGAACCCGGUACCUCAGAUGAAAAUGCAGAAAUCACCGUCUUCUGCGUCGCUCACGCUGGGAGCUGUAGACUGGAGCUGUUCCUAUUCGGCCAUCUUGGCUCCUCUCCUCAGCGGAAUCUAGUUUGUUCCCAAGUUACCAUAUCUCAGAGGCAUAUAAUGCUGUCCAAUUCUCUUGAAAACAAAAAUAAUUCAAGCUCCAAUAAUAAAGAUUUUUCUGCUUUGUUCUUCUGUGUCCCUUGUGCUGAGAAAACUCAUCUAGCAUAUGGGUUUUGACUCUUGGGUCUGAAAAAGGCAGCGAUCCCUGCUAAAUUCUGAACACUGACAUUAGUCGUCAGCCUUGGGAGAAGCAACAAUCACAACGAUCUGCUUUUUAAUGAGGCAAAGGACCAGAAAUUAAGACUAUU
RNAcentral lists this long non-coding RNA (764 nucleotides) under Pan troglodytes (chimpanzee). RNAcentral's name for it is "lincRNA". Lineage: Eukaryota; Metazoa; Chordata; Mammalia; Primates; Hominidae. The record is from RNAcentral.